Molecule: ribosomal RNA, 394 nt
Filed under: uncultured bacterium
Lineage: Bacteria
Description: bacterial SSU rRNA
Rfam family: Bacterial small subunit ribosomal RNA
Source: RNAcentral
UUACCGGUUUGACUAAUGGAAAGGCCCUUGGGAACAGGUGCUGCAUGGCUGUCGUCAGCUCGUGUCGUGAGAUGUCGGGUUAAGUCCCUUAACGAGCGAAACCCUAUUUUAGUUGCCAGCGUACGGGACUCUAGAAGACUGCCGGUGUUAACCGGAGGAAGGCGGGGAUGACGUCAAGUCCUCAUGGCCUUUAUGCCGGGCUGCACACGUGCUACAAUGGUGGACAACCGGCACCGCGAGGGGAGCAAUCGGAAAACAGCCUCAGUUCGGAUUGUAGGCUGCAACUCGCCUACAUGAAGUUGGAAUUGCUAGUAAUCGCAAUCAGCAUGUGCGGUGAAUAUGUUCCUGAGCCUUGUACACACCGCCCGUCAAGUCACGGAAGCUGGAGACCGAA